Molecule: ribosomal RNA, 1372 nt
Filed under: Staphylococcus aureus
Lineage: Bacteria; Bacillati; Bacillota; Bacilli; Caryophanales; Staphylococcaceae
Description: bacterial SSU rRNA
Rfam family: Bacterial small subunit ribosomal RNA
Source: RNAcentral
AUAUUUUGAACCGCAUGGUUCAAAAGUAAAAGACGGUCUUGCUGUCACUUAUAGAUGGAUCCGCGCUGCAUUAGCUAGUUGGUAAGGUAACGGCUUACCAAGGCAACGAUGCAUAGCCGACCUGAGAGGGUGAUCGGCCACACUGGAACUGAGACACGGUCCAGACUCCUACGGGAGGCAGCAGUAGGGAAUCUUCCGCAAUGGGCGAAAGCCUGACGGAGCAACGCCGCGUGAGUGAUGAAGGUCUUCGGAUCGUAAAACUCUGUUAUUAGGGAAGAACAUAUGUGUAAGUAACUGUGCACAUCUUGACGGUACCUAAUCAGAAAGCCACGGCUAACUACGUGCCAGCAGCCGCGGUAAUACGUAGGUGGCAAGCGUUAUCCGGAAUUAUUGGGCGUAAAGCGCGCGUAGGCGGUUUUUUAAGUCUGAUGUGAAAGCCCACGGCUCAACCGUGGAGGGUCAUUGGAAACUGGAAAACUUGAGUGCAGAAGAGGAAAGUGGAAUUCCAUGUGUAGCGGUGAAAUGCGCAGAGAUAUGGAGGAACACCAGUGGCGAAGGCGACUUUCUGGUCUGUAACUGACGCUGAUGUGCGAAAGCGUGGGGAUCAAACAGGAUUAGAUACCCUGGUAGUCCACGCCGUAAACGAUGAGUGCUAAGUGUUAGGGGGUUUCCGCCCCUUAGUGCUGCAGCUAACGCAUUAAGCACUCCGCCUGGGGAGUACGACCGCAAGGUUGAAACUCAAAGGAAUUGACGGGGACCCGCACAAGCGGUGGAGCAUGUGGUUUAAUUCGAAGCAACGCGAAGAACCUUACCAAAUCUUGACAUCCUUUGACAACUCUAGAGAUAGAGCCUUCCCCUUCGGGGGACAAAGUGACAGGUGGUGCAUGGUUGUCGUCAGCUCGUGUCGUGAGAUGUUGGGUUAAGUCCCGCAACGAGCGCAACCCUUAAGCUUAGUUGCCAUCAUUAAGUUGGGCACUCUAAGUUGACUGCCGGUGACAAACCGGAGGAAGGUGGGGAUGACGUCAAAUCAUCAUGCCCCUUAUGAUUUGGGCUACACACGUGCUACAAUGGACAAUACAAAGGGCAGCGAAACCGCGAGGUCAAGCAAAUCCCAUAAAGUUGUUCUCAGUUCGGAUUGUAGUCUGCAACUCGACUACAUGAAGCUGGAAUCGCUAGUAAUCGUAGAUCAGCAUGCUACGGUGAAUACGUUCCCGGGUCUUGUACACACCGCCCGUCACACCACGAGAGUUUGUAACACCCGAAGCCGGUGGAGUAACCUUUUAGGAGCUAGCCGUCGAAGGUGGGACAAAUGAUUGGGGUGAAGUCGUAACAAGGUAGCCGUAUCGGAAGGUGCGGCUGGAUCACCUCCUUU